RNAcentral lists this long non-coding RNA (551 nucleotides) under Vitis vinifera (wine grape). RNAcentral describes it as "long non-coding RNA (VVIN_LNC007274)". Lineage: Eukaryota; Viridiplantae; Streptophyta; Magnoliopsida; Vitales; Vitaceae. The record is from RNAcentral.
AUUUACUUGCAGCCUUAAUGUAAGUAACCACUCUUUUCAAGCUAUCACCACCAUUCUCAAAUACCCAAGGUCCUUGUUGCAGCUCUGUUGUUCCUUGCAGGUCUGCUAAAGCUCUGGGAAAAUUCGAAUCAGGUGCAAAGAGAAAGGAAUUAAGUUCUGAGGAUGCAACCACAUACAACUGGUCUAGAAGUACUCCUCCUGGUAAAUUGCUCAGACAUUCAUUUCCUUGAUCUGUCGAUUCCAUUCUUUUCAUUGACUCUUCAAAACUGCAAGAAGAGGAGGAUUGCUCCUCCAGCUUGUUCUCAUAAACCUCAGGUAUGGAAGUUUCAGAUAGCUCUGAUGAGUCAAUGCUUCCAGCAGAGGUGCAGGAUGCCAGAUCCCCAUUUUUAACAAAAAUUUGAGCAAUUCGACCUGCAAUGGUUUUUUGAGCAUUUAACUUCUCUUCCUUGGAGCCAAUAAUAUCUUCCAUUCUCAUCCCAGAAGGCAUUGGAGAAGACGACCUUGAGCUUCCAUUGAAAGACCUUGAAGGAGAUUCAAUUGUAACAUCUGGA